GCCGUGAUUGUUUAGUGGUCAGUGCUUUGCGUUAUGGCUGCAACAACCCUGGUUCGUAUCCGGGUCACGGCG
This 72-nucleotide transfer RNA is filed under the name Lepisosteus oculatus (spotted gar). It matches the Rfam family "tRNA". From Rfam's summary of the family: Transfer RNA (tRNA) molecules are approximately 80 nucleotides in length. Their secondary structure includes four short double-helical elements and three loops (D, anti-codon, and T loops). Lineage: Eukaryota; Metazoa; Chordata; Actinopteri; Semionotiformes; Lepisosteidae. The record is from Rfam by way of RNAcentral.